Molecule: ribosomal RNA, 468 nt
Filed under: uncultured bacterium
Lineage: Bacteria
Description: partial 16S ribosomal RNA
Rfam family: Bacterial small subunit ribosomal RNA
Source: RNAcentral
GACGAACGCUGGCGGCGUGCUUAACACAUGCAAGUCGAACGGAAAGGCCCUGCUUUUGUGGGGUGCUCGAGUGGCGAACGGGUGAGUAACACGUGAGUAACCUGCCCUUGACUUUGGGAUAACUUCAGGAAACUGGGGCUAAUACCGGAUAGGAGCUCCUGCUGCAUGGUGGGGGUUGGAAAGUUUCGGCGGUUGGGGAUGGACUCGCGGCUUAUCAGCUUGUUGGUGGGGUAGUGGCUUACCAAGGCUUUGACGGGUAGUCGGCCUGAGAGGGUGAACGGCCACAUUGGGACUGAGAUACGGCCCAGACUCCUACGGGGAGCAGCAGGGGGGAAUAUUGCACAAUGGGCGGAAGCCUGAUGCAGCAACGCCGCGUGAGGGAUGACGGCCUUCGGGUUGUAAACCGCUUUCGCCUGUGACGAAGCGUGAGUGACGGUAAUGGGUAAAGAAGCACCGGCUAACUACGUG